Molecule: long non-coding RNA, 796 nt
Filed under: Heterocephalus glaber (naked mole-rat)
Lineage: Eukaryota; Metazoa; Chordata; Mammalia; Rodentia; Bathyergidae
Description: lncRNA (ENSHGLG00100045427.1)
Source: RNAcentral
AGCCGCACGUGACCACGACGCUGCUCGGUCCUGCGACCCAGCCAUCGCCGGCCGCCGUGCAGGUCUAUGCCUCGCCGCUUGUUCCACAGCUUCUGUUCUCGUGUGUGUGUGUGCGCGCAUGCGCGUGCACUCGCAUCGAACCCAUGGCCUUUGCCCUCAGCUGCAGCCUCAGCCUUGUUUUAUCUCCUCUUCCUAAGUCACUACAUCGCCUUGUGACCCUCCUGCCUCAGCCUCCCAGAGGGCCGGGAUGACAGCUCUGUAUUUUAGGAACUGUAAUCAAGCUAGAUGGAGCCCACGAGCUCUGAGAAGCCACCGAGCAGCGGCCACUGUGUGUCAGCAGAGGAGGAGAGGAAAUGCUGAACAAUUCUCGGUCUCCGAGCCUGCAGAGGGAGGUGCAGACGGGACGGCACAAAACUCUUAGCCCAGUGCAGACUUCUGCUUUCCGGGCUUGGGAGAACUCCCUGGUGAAGCUGCUCCGGAAGAAUUUAUUUAGCAGCAGUUUAUUAAAAGUGGAACACACAGCGUCUGAUCUGAUCCAGUGCUCCUGGGCACUCGAGAAAAAUGAAAGCAGAUGUCCACAAAAACCUUGCUCUUCAAGGUUCAUGGCAAUGCUGUUUGUGAUGGCCCGAGCCGAGAGACAAAUACCACGUCACCAGUACGUGUGUAAAUGGAGGACACAUUCAUGACCUUGUUGGCGCUGUUUUGAGACAGGGAAUCACUGUGUUGCUACCUUGCUCAGGCUGGUCUUGAACUUGUGACCUUCCUGCUUCAGCCUCCCAGGUGUGCGUCACCAGAC